UACGGAGGAGGCAAGCGUUAUCCGGAAUUAUUGGGCGGAAAGCGUCCGUAGGUGGUUGACCAAGUCGGCUGUCAAAGGGUGGGGCUUAACCUCAUAAAGGCAGUGGAAACUGGUGAGCUAGAGUGCGGUAGGGGUAAGGGGAAUUCCCAGUGUAGCGGUGAAAUGCGUAGAGAUUGGGAAGAACAUCGGUGGCGAAAGCGCCUUGCUGGGCCAGCACUGACACUGAGGGACGAAAGCUAGGGGAGCGAAAGGG
This 253-nucleotide ribosomal RNA is filed under the name uncultured bacterium. RNAcentral's name for it is "partial 16S ribosomal RNA". It matches the Rfam family "Bacterial small subunit ribosomal RNA", at positions 524 to 776 of the family's 1533-position model. The record is from RNAcentral.